AGGGAAUCUUCCGCAAUGGACGAAAGUCUGACGGAGCAACGCCGCGUGAGUGAUGAAGGUUUUCGGAUCGUAAAACUCUGUUGUCAGGGAAGAACAAGUACCGGAGUAACUGCCGGUACCUUGACGGUACCUGACCAGAAAGCCACGGCUAACUACGUGCCAGCAGCCGCGGUAAUACGUAGGUGGCAAGCGUUGUCCGGAAUUAUUGGGCGUAAAGCGCGCGCAGGCGGUUCCUUAAGUCUGAUGUGAAAGCCCCCGGCUCAACCGGGGAGGGUCAUUGGAAACUGGGGAACUUGAGUGCAGAAGAGAAGAGUGGAAUUCCACGUGUAGCGGUGAAAUGCGUAGAGAUGUGGAGGAACACCAGUGGCGAAGGCGACUCUUUGGUCUGUAACUGACGCUGAGGCGCGAAAGCGUGGGGAGCAAAC
This 425-nucleotide ribosomal RNA is filed under the name uncultured bacterium. RNAcentral's name for it is "bacterial SSU rRNA". It matches the Rfam family "Bacterial small subunit ribosomal RNA", at positions 356 to 773 of the family's 1533-position model. The record is from RNAcentral.